This is a long non-coding RNA of Mus musculus (house mouse), 26216 nucleotides long. RefSeq annotates it as predicted gene, 40309. The transcript is spliced from 2 exons. The record is from RefSeq and is a predicted model, not a curated record. NCBI's taxonomy places the organism in Eukaryota, Metazoa, Chordata, Mammalia, Rodentia, Muridae.
AACGAGCUACCGGACGCCCCCAUCUCAGCCCCGGGCGGCAGGGCCCCUUCCUUCCGCGACCCCCGGCGGGCCCUGGCCGGCUUCGCUGCGGCCGCCUCUCUGCCUCUGGGGAAGCGGCGGCCUCCCCUCCUCCUCCCGCCGCCUUUCCCUCCCCUCCCCGGGCCCUGGGAGAGGCGGUCUCGCGGGCGGCUGGCCGGCCGGCCGGCCUGGGGAGGAACGGGGUUUGGAGGGCCGAUGCCGAAGCACUCGUCGGGGGCACGUGAGCUCUAGAGGGAGCCCCGAGGCGGUGGCGGCAACAUCUGGAAGUGUGACUAGGCGGUGGGGAAGAAGGAGCAGGCCGAGAAAACCCGGGAAGUGGGUUGGGGGAAGGGGAAAGGUAGUAACUGGAUCCCCCGGCCGCAGCGCACCCCCCAGGCCCACGCUUUUCGGGGUGUUCUGGAGAUCGCCGGCCGGGGCCUUUGCUGUCUUCUCCUUGGGGAAGGAACCUCCACAGUCUUUAGGUAUAGACGAGGGGAAGACUUUGAGUUACUCCCUUCCAGUGUAGUGUUGGGGGAAAGGGAGACAUAAUGGGAAGGGAACUGAAACAAUUUCCACUACAGAUAGAGAAAUAAUUCCGAAUGAGGUGGUAAUCUCUUUUCUACGGACCCAGCCCGUAACUAGGCCUCAUCAUUGACAUUUAAAGCUUUUAGUCUGGUCAAAGGCAAGUUGUUUGUUAAUUAAAUGAUUUGAAGUAGGGAGAAUAAUGGAGUGUCUGAGUAGCCUAUUUCAGAAUACUGUUUACCAGUGUCAGGCUCUCCUAGGGCAAUGCCUCUGUGACUAGUGUUGUACUGUGAAACUUCAUUAUGAUGUCCCUCAUAGUUAACUUGAGUCUCACUUUUAAAAACAGGCCUAUUAAAAAACAAGGGAUUUCAUCAGAUAACACGUUAUUGUAGUUCACUAUUGAGUUAGGUUUAUUUUUUUGACACAAUAUUAUAGCAGGAAAUAGCAUAUUAAGAAAAAUAAAACUCCUAGUACAUUGUAAGUCUUGCAAAUUUUAAGUACAUUAAUGCUUGCCAAAUUUAUUUAUGUGAAAUAUUGAGAGUGAUUGAAUAAUUUUACUCAUCUGUAAAAGUAAUAGUACAACUUUUUCCACCUAAAUCGACAAAAAUGCUAGCUUUUCUAUGAUUGAACUUAACAACAAAAUUCUGUAAGUAAUUAUUUUUUUCAGGUUUACAUGUUUUUCUUCUAGGCUUGCUUGAUGCUUUGAUAAUGUCAAUUAUGAUCUUUAAAAUUAAGCCUUUUAAGCACAUGAGGAACUGUUACAAAUCUUGUAGCUCUCCACCUAUAUUUGUGCCUUCCAGCUUGCAGAUCAUUAGCCAUCGUCCCAGUAGACUUGUAGAAAGUCACUUAAAAUUGAAAUGACAAUAUUAGCAGAUUUAGUGAGCAUACUAAGAAGUAAGUAGUGAUCUGCCUUACGUAGCAUGAACUCUGACCUCUGUAUUCAUUUGCCAAAACUCUGAAUGGAAGGAUGACUUUGUAUUUUUUGUGGAACAAUGCAGAAACAGUGUGAAUGGCUGUAUUCACAAAUUUUUAACGGUGAUUUAAACUUUUUAAAUAAGCAAACUUAGUUUGGGAUUGUUUAUAUAUAUAUAUUCUUUUUUUUCCCGUUUUUUUGAGGCAGGGUUUCUUAAUGGAAGAUAAUACCUAAUCUUGUUGGCCUCAAACAUCUAUAAUAAGGUGGUAGGAGUCUUUAGACUUCUCAUGCUUUCUUUUAUCUAAAAGUGUCAAGUUACUGCCCUGAAAAUCGAUAUAUUCUCUUUGCUUCCUGUGGUGUGACUUUUCCCAAUGGUGUUUGGUGUUUAAGUUGAAGGUUUUCAGCAUUUGUAUGGCUCUGGCAGUGCAUAUUUAACUGAUGGGUUAAGGAAGUGGCUCCAUGGGUAAAGGUGGCUUGCCUGAUGACCUGAGUUCAGACUCGAGGACCCACAUGGGAGGUUUUUCCUUUGACCUCUACACCCAUAAAUGCAAAUAAAAUAAAAGCUCAUCCUCAUGUACAAGAUUUAAAAAAAUUGUCAAUGGAUCUCAGGAAGAAAAUAGGAAAUAUGAACACAAGUUAUUCAAGAAUGGUCCCUUUAAAAACCUAGCAGGGAACUCAUUUCAAGGAACUAAGUUGCAAAGAAUGUUUUGGAAAAGAUCAGAUGAAAUUUAAUAUUGUAAAACACACACACACACACACAAAACCAACGUAUAGCUUUAUCCUCACAGAUAGUUUAUUUCGUUGACAUUUUAGUAAGUCAAGUCCAGUUCCGUAGAUAGGUUGUAUUGAUUUUCACCUCAAUGAAGGACCCAUAGUGCAGUCUAUAUAUUUCCUUUUUAGUGUGUAAAUGUGAGCUUUUGAAUAGUUGGCCAAGUAAUUAUUUCACCAUGUCACUUCAUGCAAAUCUCCAGUAUAUGAGGUUUAAUUCAUUUGGUAGUGUUUUAAUAAUUUUGGUGGAUCUGAUGACUUUUUUUUUUUUUUUUUUUUUUUGCCUUUUUUGUUUAAAGUGCCUUUGUAAAAAUAGCUGACUUGUCAGAACGAGCCUUUGCUUUGACCCAGCACUGGGGAAGCAGAGGCAGGCAGGUCUCUGAGUUCCCUCCAGUAUGGCCAGGGAUACACAGAUCAUGCCUCAAAAGACAGAAAUAGCUGGGUGGUGGGGUGCAGUGGAGUGGUGCAUGCCUUUAGGAGGAAGAGGCAGGGUUCUUCUGGUCUACAGGGGCGGGGGCGGGGGUGGUGGUGGUGGUGGUGGUGGUGGUGGUGGUGGUGGUGGUUCCGGCUCCCGGGCUGUUAACACAGAAACCCUGUCUCAAAAAAACAACAAAAAAUAACCACCCAAAGAUAGCUUACAUUCAUUGAAUUCUGAUUAUAAGAGGUUGGCUUUAAAUAGUUAUUUGCUAAGUAUAUUAAAAUAUAAACCAUUUCAUAAACAUGAAAGAUGAGUAGCUAUAUACUGUUAAGAUUUGUGUCAAAAGGGGAGAUGUAUUUGCCAGUACAGGUGAAAGGAUUUAUGGAAAAUUGGUAAAACUGGUAAAGCUGCUUGACUGGGCACAGGGUAUAGACCUCCCGUGGAUGUUAACAAAGGCAGCCUCUAGUUUUUCAUAAACUACUAUUUGGAGAUUGGUCUUUUGUUUGUUAGAUACUCUAAAAUAAUGACUGAAUUUUAAGGAGUGGUUUAGAUGUGCUCAGAUUAGAAAACAUAUCUACAUUAUAGUUUUGAGCCAUGUUAUAUAAGUAAAUUGCUGACUAUGAGGAUCAACAGGUUAAGCAUUAAUUUAUAUUUGUAGGUUGCAUUGUUGCUACCGAUUAUUACUGCUGCCAUUUACAAAAUACCUCUUCUAUUAUUGUUUAUGUAUCAUUGCUAAUUCUAUUUUGUUUUGAUUUGUUUGGUUUGUUUUUUUUUUUUUUUUCUUUUUGAAACAGGGUUUCUUUCUUUUCUUUUCUUUUUUUUUUCUGGUUUUUCGAGACAGUGUUUCUCUGCAUAGCCCUGGCUGUCCUGGAACUCAGUCUGUAGACCAGGCUGGCCUCGAACUCAGAAAUCCACCAGCCUCUGCCUCCAGAAUGCUGGGAUUUUGAGACAGGAUUUCUUUGUAUCGUUGGUUGUCCUGGAACUUAACUUAACCAGGCUGGUGUCAAAUUUACAGAGAUCCCAGGUGCCUCUGCCUCCUGUGCUGGGAGUAAAGGCUAGCAACAUCACUGCCUGUCUGCUUAACAGUAGGUCUUUGCAUUAGAUCUCCUACAUUCUACCUGAGAAAAUUGAGGUUCAGAGAAGUUAAAUUAUUUGUUUGUAAACAUGGCUUAAGAAUUUGGAUUUUUUAAAGAAUUAUUUUAUAUAUAAGUACACUGUGGCUGUCUUCAGACACACCAGGAGAGAGCAUUGGAUCCCAUUACAGAUGGUUGUGAGCCACCAUGUGGUUGCUGGGGAUUGAACUCAGGACCUCUGAAAGAGCAGUCAGUGUUCUUAACCACUGAGCCAUCUCUCCAGCCCAGCUAGGCAUACUUUUAAUUAAAAUUGGACCUACAUUUCUGUUUGUUUGUUUGUUUUUCCAAGUCAGGGUUUCUCUGUAUACCCCUGGCUGUCCUGGAACUCACUUUGUAGACCAGGCUGUCCUGGAACUCAGAAAUUCGCCUGCCUCUGCCUCCCGAGUGCUGGGAUUAAAGGUGUGCGCCACCUUAUAGUUUGCUGACAAUUUCUAGAAUUCUGUAGUAGAAUUUUUUCCAGUUUUAUAAGCUCCUGUUUUGUGAGGAUUACUUAGUGUGCCUUAUGAGGUUCUGAAGUGAAUUGAAUAUAGCAGCCUUACAUACUGGUUUCAAAAACAAAAUCGUGUACAAGCGAUUGUUGGAUUGCAUUUCCUACUUUACCUUUUUUUUUUUUUUUUUUUUUUUUUUUGAGGCAGGGUCUUUACAGAGCCCUGGCUGUUCUGAAAUUCACUAUGUAGAGCAGGCUGGCCUGGAAUUCAAAGAAAUCUGCCUGCUUCUCCCUCCUGAGUGCUGGAAUUAAACACAUGCGCCACUACCACCCACAGGUUUCUUUACUAUGAAAAAGGCUGUGAAGUGGGACAUGUGUUCAGUCUUGAAAACUUGUCUAGUUUGUGGGACGUUCUAGAUUCAUUCUCUCCUCAGCACUGCAAAAGAGAAGCUUUGAUCUCUGGCAAAUGUUUGCUUUGUAAAGUGUAGUUUUUUUUAAAGACUUAUUUAUUUAUUUUAUGUAAGUAAGUACACUGUAGCUGUCUUCAGACACACCAGAAGAGGGCAUCAGAUCCCGUUACAGAUGGUUGUGAGCCACCCUGUGGUUGUUGGGAAUUGAACUCAGGACUUGUGCAAGAGCAGUCAGUGCUCUUAACCGCUGAGCCAGCUCUUCAGCCUGUAAAGUGUAUUUUUAUUUUCUGUGAACAUAUUGAGCAUGCUGCUCUCAACUCCCCAGAGACAUAACAUUAUUAGAAUGAGCUUUAGAGUAGUAAAUAGAGGGUAGGUAACUAUGUAUCAGUGCUGGGUCAGAACUGAGUACAGUUCAGGCAGUGGUAGAGAGCUUGUGGAACAUCUGUAAGACUGCGGCUUCUAUUGUGAGCACUAGCGUAGGGGGAGCUAGGUGCAAAAAAUUGAGUGUCAUGGGUGUUUGGAGGGUAUGGGAAUGGAAGAAGUUCUUGGGCUGGAGUCAAAAGGAAAGUUGAGAGGGUCUUAAGGUCUUCUUAGCACAAACCAGGUGAGAGAGACAGGGUCGGGAAGACAUUGUUUUUUUUCUGUUUAGGACAGAAAGGUCUAUAGUUUUCCUGUACUCAGCAUAGUUGUUAAAUUAUAUUCUGUUUGUUAUCUUUGGAGAAAAGCUUCCCUUUUCAUAUCACAGUAAAAUAUAUAUACAGUAUGACUGGCACUGAAAUCAAGAAGCAGAAUAUUAGCUGUGCCAUAGGAACUUUACCCCUAGUUAAUUUUCUCAUUUUGUUUUUAAAAGUUUCAGAAGGGGCGUCUCACUAUGUAGCCCUGGUUGACUUGAAACGUACUGUGUAGACCUGGUGGGGUGUUUGUCGUUGUUUUGUGACAGGGUCUCUGUAUUUAGUCUUGGCUGGCUGUGUAGACUAGGGUGGCUUCGAACUCACAGAUUCUCUUACCUCUAUUUACCAAGUGCUGGGGAUUAAAAGGCCUGCACCAUGUCCUGCUCUGCUUGUUGGUUUUCAGCUUACUGCUUACUUAACUCUGGGAUAAAAGAUAGAUGACACUCUCUAUGCUCUACCUUUUCUGAGUUCAUAGAGCAGAUUAGUAUGCUUGAAUAGAAGAGUAGACAUGAGUUUAUACUCCAAGUUUGAAGGUUUAUGAAAAAUGCCCUUAAAUUUUUAAAAUUUUUGUCUGCAUAGGUCAGAGGACAUCUUCAGAGAGGUGAUUCCACUGUAGGCUCCAGGAUUCAUGAGGCUUGCAGACCAGUUUUACCUGCUAAACUAUUUCAGAGGGCUCUUAAAAUCUUUAAAAACAGAAGAACAAAAACCUGCCACCUGGCUUGGUGACCACGCCUUGAAUUGUAGUACUUACCAUACUGUCAGAGGCAGGAUGAUUGUAAGUUAGAGGCUAGCCUGGUGUAGAUAGCAGAUUCCAGGAUAGUCAGGGCUGCAUAAAGAGACCCUGUCUCAAAAAAAAAAAAAAAAAAAAACCCAAAUCCUGCCUGGUCUUGGUGGUGACAUAAGCCUUUGAUCCCAGCACUGAGGUUAAUAGAAGAUCUCUAUGAGUUCAAGACCAGCCUGGUCCACAGAGAGAGUUGCAAGACAGCAAGGGCUACACAGAGAAACCCUUUCAAAACAAAACAAAACAAAACAAAAACCCAAAAACUAACCAGCCAACCAACCAAAUCUCCAGGUAUGGUGACAUGCCUGUGACCCCAGCAUUUGUUUGGAAUUGGAGACAGGAGGAUUAGAGGUUUAGGGCCAGUCUGAGUUACAUCAGACCCUGCUUUAAAAAGUCAAAUAGUAACACUCCAAAUAAACUGCAAAUCUACUGUAGUUAAUAGUUUUAGAAAUAGUUAAAAUUUAUUUUUAUUUAUUUUUUUUUUGAAGAGUCCAAAGCUACCAUAAUUAAUUCCUUACCUGUAAGACUGAAAUUUGAGACCCAAAGAGUUUGGUCGGUGGUCCUUGACACAGAGCUAGUUAAUGGUGAACUUAAACAUUUUGUCAACUCCAUUUUGUCAACUCAAACACAAUAUGUAAACAUUCCACAAGAAUAUACUUUUUAUAGUAAUACUAUAAAGGCUCAAUAUUGAAAACAGUGUAAAGAGUAACAUAUUGAUAUUGGGGAUUUAUUGCAUCUUUAUGUAAGAAUUUAAGGGGGCUGGUGAGAUGGCUCAGUGGGUAAGAGCACCUGACUGCUCUUCCGAAGGUCCAGAGUUCAAAUCCCAGCAACCACAUGGUGGCUCACAACCAUCCGUAACAAGAUCUGACUCCCUCUUCUAGUGUGUCUGAAGACAGCUACAGUGUACUUACAUAUAAUAAUAAAUAAAUCUUUAAAAAAAAAAAUUUAAACAUGCCAGGAAGCAUAGACACUUGAUUUUUGAAUUGUGACAUAGUAAAUUUAGUAAUUAAAAGUGUGAGCUUUAUAAUUAGGGUCUCACAUAGGAGGAGACAUACCAUGGUGAGAGGACAGACAGCCUCAGAUGUUGGUCUCUGCCAUUCCAUCUUGUUUGGAACAGGGUGUCUUUUUUUUGUUCCUCGUUAUAGUGGAGGCUAGCUGGCUGGGGGAGGGGGGGCUACUGCAUUUUAUUUACAUGGGCUUUGAGAAUUUGAACUCAGGUGUUAAUGUUUGUGUUUUACUCACAGAACUUAGCACCUUCGUGACUCCAUGUGUUGAGUUUACCUAAUCUUUGAAAUUAAGAGCUUUGUUGUCAUGUGGGAACAUCUGGGGCAGAUGGCCAAACAGAAUAAUGCAUAGGAUAUAUGGGCAUCAAGGUGUUAAUAUUUUAUUUUUUUUUAUUUAUUAUUUUGGUUUUUUGAGACGGUUUCUCUGUGUAGCUCUGGCUAACCUGGUGCUUACUCUGUAGACAAGAGAUCUGCCUGCAGAGACCUCCCAAGUGCUGGGAUUAAAAUUAAAGGCAGGUGCCUCCAUUGCCUAGCAGUGUUAAUCUCUUUUAGGAGAGUUUUUAAAGUCAGGAAAACUGUGUGAAAAAUGUUCUUCAUUCCCUAUUCCUCUCCUCUCCUCUCUCCUCUCCCCCCACUUUUUGCCUUCCGUUUGUGUGUGUGUGUGUGUGUGUGUGUAUUAUUUUGUUUUUUUCAGAGAUCACUUCUGAGUAAGACUUCUUUUUAUACAUUUGGUAUUUUCUAUUAUGUGGAUUUUUAAUGUAUUUGCUCUUUAAAACUAAGGUAAAAUGCACAUAGCAAAGUUGAUCAUCUGGGGCAUGUACUCUGGCGUGGGCUCUGAGUUUGAUCCCAGUACUACCCUCUAUUCCUGAUAAAGCACAAAAUAAAGUUUGCGGGCUUAAUCACUUUUGUAUGUAUACUUAAGUGGUGUUAAGUAUAUGCACACUGUUGUACAACCAUUUCUACCAUUUUCUCCAGAACUUUUUUAGUCUGUAAAACUGGAAAAAAAAAAUCUGUACUCAAUAGUAUUCUACUAUCUCUUAACCCAUCCCUGACAGUCACUGUUUUCUGUUUUCAUGAAUUUGACUACUCUUACUGUAUGUUCCUGGCGCUUUUGUAACUAACUUUAUUUCACUUAGCUAUAUCCCAUCUUUGCAUCAUAGAUCCCGGGCUGAGGAGAUGGCUCAGUGGGUUCAGUGCUGGCUGCUCAAGUGUGGGGAGUUGAGUUAUGAUCCUGAGUGCUCAUGUAAAAGCCAGGUACAGUGGUAUGCCGCUGUGACCGACCCCAGCACUGGGGCAGGCAGAAUACCUAGGGCUUGCUGAUUAGCUAUUGAAAUUUCAAGCACUGGGUUCACCGAGAGAUCCUGGCUCAAAAAAUAAGGUGGAGUGGGGCUGACAGGAAUACUCAGUAGAUAAAGGCACUUACUACCAAUCACGCCCACUAAUCCCCAGGGUCCACAUAGUAGGGAGAGAACUGACUGCUGCAAAUUGUUCUCUGACCCCUACAUGCUUGUGCCAUGGCAUAUGUGCAUCCCUUCUCCAGAAAAUAAAUAAGUAAAUAUGUGGAAAUCGACUGCUGGUUGCAUGGACAUUACACAAACAGUUAAAAACAGUGCUGGUGUUAUGUAUGGUUUUGCUGAUAAGAAUAGGUACAGCUUCUGCAGCAUUUUGGGUUGCUCCUAACCUGUAACUCCAGCUCUAGGGUAUCCACUGUCCUCUUCUGGCUACACUCACGUGGGCUACUUGGACACACACCUGUAUAUGAGUAAAAAUAGAAAAAGAGACCAGGUGUGGUGAGGAAUGCCUUUAACCCCUGCUUUUGAGAGACAGCCAUGUGGAUUUCUGUUAGUUCAAGUCUAGCCUGGUCUACAUAGCAAGUUCUAGGCCAGCUGGGUCUUUGUCUCAAAAACACAUACAUGAAGUAUAAAAAUAUACUGACAUUUUCCUUUAAUUUCUCUGCUAUUUCAUAGUCAUAACCUUUAUAUGUUCUAGCUUACCUUUCCUGUGUUAUUUAUUGUCAAGGCUCAGGUUUAUACUUUUUUUUUUUUAAGAUUUAUUUAUUUAUUAUAUGUAAGUACACUGUAGCUGUCCUCAGACACUCCAGAAGAGGGCAUCAGAUCUCAUUACGGAUGGUUGUGAGCCACCCUGUGGUUGCUGGGAUUUGUACUCAGGACCUCUGGAAGAACAGUCAGUGCUCUUACCCACUGAGCCAUCUCACCAGCCCCAGGUUUAUACUUUUAUUCCUGUAUAAAUGUAAGACUUUGUAUUUCAAAGGUUGUGUACUACUGAACUUUUUGCUGUUUAGUUGAGAUGUAGGAACUGGACCAAGCCCUUAGGUCCAUUCUUGGUUAGUGUGUUUGUAUGCCAUGGCAGAUUGUGAUUGGGGAACAACUUGUGUGAGUCAGUUCUCUACUUUCACCAUAUGGCUUAUCUACUGAGCUAUCUCAAUAGCCCUUUCCCUUAUUUAAAACUAUUUAGUCGGGCCUAGAGAGAUGACCAGUUAAGAGCACUGACUGCUUUUUCAGAGGUCCUGAGUUAAUUCCCAGCAACCACAUGGUGGCUCAUAACCAUCUGUAAUGGGAUCUUCUGGUGUGUCUGAAAACAGCUACAGUAUACACACAUAUACAAUACAUAUACAUAUACACAUCAACAAACAUCUAAAAAAAUGAAUUUGGUCUGGUAGGGGGGAGGGUUGAUGAUGAUCAAAGGACAACUUGCAGGAGUUGGCUCUCUGCUCCCACUAGGUGGAUUAAUAGAAUUGUGUUCCUUCAGUUUGCUAGUCAUUGCUUUACUUACUGCCCCCAGACCUUUCCUUUUGUUUGUUUUUGUGGAGACUAUCUCUGGCUGGCCUAUUCUAUGUAGAACAGGUUGGCUUCAAAGUCAUAGAUCCCCUUGCCUCUGCCUCCGCCUCCUGAGAACUGGUAUUAAAGGCGUGUGCCACCACAUCCUUCCAGUCCUUUCCUUUUUUACCUCUUUAAGCCAAGUUUGAGAACACAUGCAUAUUAUUUCAGCACCCAAGAAGUUGGGAUAAGCAAGAAGAAAUGGUCAGAACUAGAUUAAGAUCUACCAGGACAGGGAAAUGAAGUUCUGUUUCAAAAAAAGAAAGAAAUGAAACUUACUUAUCCUUAAAACAUUGCCUCUUCCCACUCCACCCUCCCUUUUUUUAAAAGAUAGGGUCUCAUUUAGACUAUGCUGACCUGGAUCUUUUUUUUUUUUUUUUUUUUUUUUAAGAUUUAUUUAUUUAUUUAUUUAUUUAUUAUAUGUAAGUACACUGUAGCUGUCCUCAGACACUCCAGAAGAGGGCGUCAGAUCUUGUUACAGGUGGUUGUGAGCCACCAUGUGGUUGCUGGGAUUUGAACUCCGGACCUUUGGAAGAGCAGUCGGGUGCUCUUACCCACUGAGCCAUCUCACCGCUGACUUGGAUCUUAAUGUAUAGCUAAGGCUGCUAUUGAAUCUUGGAACAUCUAGCCUCUAUGUUUGAAGUACUAUGCUUAUAGGUCCUGUGUGUCACCAUGCAUGGACAAAAUGCCAGUUUUCCUUGCACCCUUAGUUUUUCAUGUUCUCUGGUGUUGUCAUACUUCAUUACAUUAUAAUUAUUAUAAUAUCAAUAUAAUUAUAAAUAUUAUAUUAUUAAUUGUACUUAUGCCUGUUUGUUUUUGAUAGACUUCUAGAAAACUCCUUGAAAAUUCUUGGAAUCCUUUUUUCUUAAGCAUCUUUCAGGGCUCCUGGAAUAUAAUGGCCUACUAUUUUAAAGUGUUAUCACUUUAAAUCUUUGAUAGGUACAGUUUGCUUUUGUGCCCUCAUUCCUUUAUGGCUGAGGCAGAGUCUUUUGUAUUCUAGGCUAUAUUCUCACUUGAAAUGUAAAUGAAGGUGACCUUGAACUUUUUGUCUUUGGAGUGUUAUACUGUUGUACAGAGUUGUGCAGAAUACAGUCAUACAAUACCACAUUCUGUUUAUGGGGUACAGAUAUUGAACUUGUAGGAUUAUGUCAUUCUAGGCAAGUGUUCUACCAACUGAGCUACAUCCUAACCCUACUGUACUGGGGUUGUUUUUUUUUUGUUUGUUUGUUUGUUUUUUGUUUUUGUAAAGUAGAUUUUUUUGUUUUUGUUUUUUGGCAUUUUGAGACAGUUUUUCUGUGUAGACCUGACUGUCCUGGACUUCAUUAUGUAGAGCAGGCUGGCCUCAAACUCAUAUCUGCCUGCCUCUGCCUCCUGAGGGCUGAGAUUAAAGAGGCCCACUACCACUAAAGUAGAUCUUUUAAGGAAUAUGUGUAUGUGUGCAUGCAUGUGUAUGCCUGAGCAAGCCAGAAGAAUAUAUCAGGUCCUCUGGAACUGGAGUUAAGGAUGGUUGUGAACCACCAUGUGGGUGCUGAGAAUAGGACCCAGGUCCUUUGCAAAAAUGAUCAGUGCUGUUAACCACUGAGCCAUCUCUUGAGUCCCGAGGACUAAAAAGAGUAGAGCAGUUUCUACAUCUGUCAGACAUUUAGUUAUUUCCAGUUUAUUACUGAUAUGCAUGGGCAAGAAUUUUGAUUAUAUACGUGGUUGAUAUAUAUUGAUUUCUUGUUAAGUUUUUGGAUGUAGUUUAAGUGUUUUUAUAAAUAGUUGUCUUAUAAAUAAACUUUUAUUUAUUCCUUUAUUUGGGAAAGUGCUUAAAAUUAACCUUAGCCUCUCCAAUGCAGGUUUAUGCCAUGUCUGGUUUCUAAAUUAACCUAAGUGCUCCCUAAGACAUCUCUGCUUCCAUGCAAACCAAGUGCCUGGCAUGUUAUUUCAUAUUCAGUUAUGUCUACAGACCUAGGUAGUUAUGUAUGUCAGACUGACAGACCUCCUCCCCAUGGAGGAUACUGUGUAGCUGGCGGGCCUGGAGCUCACUGUCUAGGACAGGUCUUGAACUGGAGUGUUGGAUUAAGCGUGUGUGCCACUGUGUCCAGCUGUCAGGCCUGUUUCCCUUAAUGUCUCUGGAUUUGAUCAUACUUUUUGUCCUAUGAGGUUUACUUUGUGAGUUGCUGCAUUGUCCUUUGUGUGCCUUCUUAAGAACUGGGGAUGUGCCAGGUGUGAAGCAAGAUAGUACUCAGGCAGAAGCAGGCAGUCACUGAGUAGAUCUCUGGUCUACACAGAGAGUUCCAGGACAACCAGGGUUACACAAGAGAAACCCUGCCUUGAAAACAAAACAAACACCCCUCCACCCUCACCCCCAAAAAACCCCAAACUGGAGAUAUAUCCUUGAGGGUGGAGACCCAAUUUCUUGGUAGUUCAUUCUCCAUUGCUAAGCACAUUGUGGGUAAGUAGGAGGCACUUGUUUUCCUGAAUAAAUUUAAGAAUUUUGGGGAGCUUAUCCAAACCAUGGUGGAAAUAUAAUACCUUUUGCUCUGCUUCUGAGUCUAGGAAAAGAUACAUUGUUGAAGAUGGUCUCCAGAUCAAGUUGCACAUCUAUAGGCUACUAACUCAGGUUCUCUAUUUAGAAAACUGAACACUCACAUCAAGAACUAGGAAGCAAGGUAGUCAAAAGGGAAUUAUUUUGACUUUCUUUUGUUGUUUUUACCUUUGAAGAUCUCAAGGGGCUCCUAAAUAGUAUAUAUGACAUCAUCUGUGUCCCUGUGCGGUUCUUUUGUUUGUUUAACUUCAUAUUUUUUCAUUUAUUCAGGUGCUUAGGUGGUUAAUUAAAUAGACAUAGUCACUGCUUUACUGAGAAAAUUUUAACCUGCCAAGGCAGUGAGAAACUGAACAGCUAGUUUUAAGUGUGUGUGUGUAUAGCAUAAGGGAAGCUGUAAGGUUGAGUAAUUUAAUUUACCCUCAGGGAGAGAGUUCUUCGGGAAUAAACCGUAUACUUUGAGGGUGAAUUUGAAUAAGCUUAGGAAGAUCAGCUGUAUACAUAUAGAAAGCUGGUAAUCAUAACAACUAAAGACAGAAAGAUUACUCUUCUGUUUUCCUUUUUCUCUUCUCCUUAAUCUUUCUUUUGAGACAGGGUCUCAUAUAUAUCCUUGGCUGUUCUGGAACUUGUUAUGUAUACCAGGCUGUAAACAGAUCUCCCUGCCUCUUCCAUCCAGUGCUGAGAUUAAAAGCAUCAGCUCACCUUGCCCAGCUUAAUUACAUUUCUUAAAAUCAGUUUUUGUAAAUAUAAAAAUUGCAGGUUUGCUUUCUAUAGACAGUAGUAGAACCUAUCUGAACCCCCCCCCCCCCCAGCUACUUCUUUUAUCUUCCAUCCACUUGUGUUUGGGACAAGGCCAGCCUUGACUUCACUGUGUAACUGAGGGUGACUUUGAAUUUCUCCUUCCACUUUCCAAAUGCUGUGCUUGAAGUGCAUGGAAUCACUAAAGCCAAGAAAAGAAUGUUAGGAAGAAAAUUGGCCUUUUAGCUGCGGAAAGAAAAAUGAUCACUGACUUUUCAACAUAGUGGCCAUUGGUGUCCGUCCUUGCCAGAGUUUUUAUGGGAGUGGUGAAAAUAGGAGUCUGAUUGAUUGGAGCAGGUAACUGAAAGAUCAACUGUGAAAGUGGCAUGAGGAGUUUUGCUUAGCAGGAGAAUAGAGAAGAGAGGCUGGGGAAGUCAGGCUCAAGGGACCUUUGAAAAGAAUUCUGGCAGAUGAUAGAGGGAAUUGUAUGUUGUUGGGUAGGAGAAUCUGAUUAUGCUAGAGAAUAAUCAGAAUUUCUUAUUUUUAACAAGAUUGCUUAGGGAAGUUGCAAAGUCCUUGAAAAUGAACAGGAGUAGGUAGGGUGAUAUUCAUAACAGGGUGGGAGGAUUGGUCUUUAAUAGAAACAGAGACACAUAGGACAACGUUACGGUUCUGUUGGGAUUUGUGGUCUGCACUUUACAGACCAAUUAACAAUGGUUGUGUUUUCUCUAGUAAUGAUGGCUUGGUGGCUUCGGGCAAGAGGAAAAAGGUGGUGUGGUUUUUUUAGUUAAUUGGAAAAUGAGUUUAACUAGCUUGGGGGCUAUCAGUGAAUACUAUGAAAAAGAAAACAUCAGUGUUGUCAAGAGUAUUUUGUAAGAGAGUAUUAAUAAGAAAUGUCCCUGAAAUCUGAGAGAAAUGAGGCUGUUAGAAGUGAUCAAAGUGUUCAUGUGGGAUGGAGCCAGCUGUUGGGUUUGCAGAGCUGAAGAAAGUAAACUUAAUUCAAGCCAAAUGGGAGUCUAAGAACAUUGACAUAAUUUGGGGAAAGGUAUAAUUUUUGUUGACAGAGAUUAAGAAAGAUUAUCAUAAGAAUGGAGGCUUGUAUUUUAUUAACAUUUGUUUUUUUUUUAAGAUUUAUUUAUUUAUUUUAUGUAUAUGAGUACACACUGUAGCUGUACAGAUGGGUGUGAACCUUCAUCUGGUUGUUGGGAAUUGAAUUUUGGACCUCUGCCCACUCUGGUCAACCCCGCUCGCUCUGGUAGACCCACUCGGUUCUGGUCCAAAGAUUUAUUUAUUAUUAUACAUAAGUACACUGUAGCUGUCUUCAGAUACACCAGAAGAGGGCAUCAGAUCUCAUUACGGGUGGUUGUGAGCCACCAUGUGGUUGCUGGGAUUUGAACUCAGGACCUCUGGAAGAGCAGCCAGUGCUCUUACCUGCUGAGCCAUCUCACCAGCCCCCAACAUUUGUUAAGAACACAGUUCUUUUUGCUUUUCGUGGGAAUUUUAAACAUGUACAAAUAUUAUGCUUGGGGGAUGAUUCAGUGGUUAGGAGCAUUUGUUACUCUUGCAGAGAGAGGACCUGGGUUUGAUUCCUUAGCACCUCUGUGGUGUGGUAGCUUACAGCUAUCCAUAACUCCAGUUUCAAGGAUCUGAUGCCUUCUUCGGAUCUCUGUAGGCCCAAGGCAUGUACACGGUGCACAUGCAUCCAUGUAAGCAAAUCCAUCCAUCCAUUUCAUGUACACAAAAUCAAUUUAAAAAAACGUAUGCACAAAAAGAUAAUAAAAGUAGGGAAUAUACAGUUUUUCAUCUAUUAAAGCAGCAGUUCUUAAUCUUCCUAAGGCUGUAACUUAAUACAAUUACUCAUUUUAUGGUGACUCCAACCAUAAAACUAUUUCAUAAUUGUAAUUUUCUACUGUUAUGAAUUGUUAUGUAAAUAUCUUGGUAUACAGGAUAUCUGCUAUGCGACUCCUGUCAAAGUGACCCUAACUCAAACCGAUGGACCCACAGGUUGAGAACGGCUUUACUAGAUUGUUCCUGAUGCCAGUAUCACUCUUAUUAGUCCUGAUGAUUUUCUCAAUUGUAACUCAAAUUUAUUGAGGUAGAAUUCUGGCAUAAUGAGAAUUGCAUGAGGUAUGUUGGUAUAUAGAUCAGAUCUUGUUUACUGGGUUGCAGAGGCAGGAUCCCAAGUUAAAGGACUCUCUCUCACACAAUGGUUCUGGGGGAGUCAGCUCAGUUUGCCCAAUCACACAGUAGACUGUACCUUCAAUCAACCAGGAUAGUUCUCUAGUGCUAACAAAUGGUUCCCUUCCCUUUUGUUAUUCCUUUUGGGGGGGGGUUGUUUUUUUUUUUUUUUUUUUUUUUUUUAAAGAUUUUAUUUAUUUAUAUGUAAGUACACUGUAGCUGUCUUCAGACAUUCCAGAAGAGUGAGUCAGAUCUCGGAUGGUUGUGAGCCACCAUGUGGUUGCUGGGAUUUGAACUGGGGACCUUCGGAAGAGCAGUCGGGUGCUCUUACCCACUGAGCCAUCUCACCAGCCCAUGGGGGGAGGUUUCAAGACAGGGUUUCUCUGUAUAGCCCUGGCUGUCUUGGAACUCACUCUGUAGACAAGGCUGGCCUCAAACUCAGAAAUCCACCUGCCUCUGCCUCCCAAGUGCUGGAAUUAAAGGCAUGCGCCACCACUGCCCGGCUCCUUUUGUUACUCUUGGUCAGUUUGUACUGUCAUAAUUAAACUAUACUGAGAAACUCAAUUUAUUUCUUAGAAAUCUGAGAACAGAUGGCAGAACAGUCAGGCUCUGUUAAGGGCCCUUUUGGCCUAUAGAUUUGUCCUCAUUUGAAGGGGUGAGGAGGAAGCUCUUGGUUUCUCUUAUAAAGGAAAUCCCCAGUAGUGCCAAAAGCAAAAAUGGAAUCCUGUGCUGAUUGUUCUAUACUUGCCUCUUUCUUUUUUUAAGUUAACUGUUUAUCUUUAAGGAUUGUCUUGGUCAGUGUUUUAUUGCUGUGAAGAGGCACUAAGACCACAGCAACUAUUAUAAAGGAAAGCAUUUAAUUGGGGCUGGCUUACAGUUCAGAGGUUUAGUUCAUUAUCAUCAUGGAGGCAUGCAGGCAGACUCUGGGGAGGUAGCUAAGAGUUGUUGUAUAUCAGAAUUGGCGGGCAGCAGGAAGAGAGUGACACUGGGCCUGGCUUGUGCAUUUGAAACCUCAAAGCUCACCCCCAGUGACACUAUCUCCAACAAGGCCUCUCCUAUUCCAACAAGGCUACACCCUCUAAUCCCUGUCAAGUAUCACCACUUCCUAAUGACCAAAUACAUGAGCAUAUGGGGAUCAUUACUAUUCACACAACUGCGGGGAUAUUGUAAAUUAGUGGACAUAGAGCCAGUUUAAGAAAAAUAGCUAUGGGACUGGAGGGACAGCGAAGCGAGCGGUUUAAGAGUUUGUUGCUCUUGUUGAAGACCUGUGUAGCCCCUAGCAUCCACAUGGUUGCUCACAAACAUUAGUAACUGGUUGCUGGGGAGCCAAUGCCCUCUUCUGACCUCUUUGGGCAUUAGGUAUGCACAUGGUGCAUAUACAUCCAUGUCAGCAGAACACUUACACACAUAAAGUAAAUCUUUUUUUUUUUUUUUUUAAGAAUUAUUUUGUGUAUAUGAGUACACUGUCUCUGUCUUCAGACACACCUGAAGAGGGCAUCGGAUCCCAUUACAGAUAAAUGUGAGCCACCAUGUGGUUGUUGGGAAUAGAACUCAGAACCUCUGGCAGAGCACUCAGUUCUCUUAACCACUGAGCCAUCUCUCCAGCCCAUAAAAUAAAUCCUAAAACAAAAAGAAAAGUAGCUAUGUAAGUGGCAUUCUCUUAUUGGAUUAUCAUAAUUUCAAGUUUUUAACUUUUCUACUUACGACCUUAUCCAAGGGCAGACUGUAAUAAAAUAUUUCUCUCGAGUGGGCCUUGUUUAGGGCAGAAUACUGUGGAUUUAUUUCAGUAGCUCACCUUUCUCUUCCCCUGCUGGAGUUCCUUCUCUCUUUUCUUUUUUCCUUUUUUUUGGUUUUUCGAGACAGGGUUUCUCUGUAUAGUCCUGGCUGUCCUGGAACUCACUUUGUAGACCAGGCUGGCCUCGAACUCAGAAAUCGGCCUGCCUCUGCCUCCUGAGUGCUGGGAUUAAAGGUGUGUGCCACCAUGCCCGGCUUGGAGUUUCUUCUCUUAUAUGUCAUUUUGAGGACCAGGUUCAGAAAAUUUGGUAACUUCCAGGGAAUUCUUAAUUGCUUGGAUUUGUGCUUACUUAUGCUUCCAGCCAUGCAUCCAUCACUAUACACUGGCACAUUGUACAUUGGUCUGAGUUCCUACAGAGAGCAUCAUGAGAGUCUGCUCUGUGAUUUGUGAUCCCCCUUCUCUGCACCUCCAGCAGUUUGUUCUUUGACUUGAGCUGUUGAUUUUCAGUUUGUUCAGGUUGCUGUGGUUGCUUUUUUUUUUUUUUUCUCCUCCUGCUUUUGUCAUUCUCUAUGUCGUCUUUGUAGUGCUCUUGAAGGAACAGAGGGUUUUUGUACAUAUUAUAUAGAUCCCACAUCCUCAUUCCUUUGUGUCUUCUAGUAUGAGUGAUGACUUUCAAACAUUUUAUAUGAUAAAACAAAUGAGAAGAUUCAGAGUGUGUGUGUGUGUGUGUGUGUGUACAAAUGGAACCCAGAGGACAAUUUUAGGUAUCAUUCUUCAGGUUUUUAUUUAAUUUUACUUUUUGAGACAAGGUCUGUCAUUAGCUAGGAACUUGGCAAAUGGCCUAGGCUGUAUAUGGGCUGUGAGCUUUAGGGAUCUCUUGGUAUCUGCCUCCUCAAUGCUGGGAUUGUGAAUGAGUGCAGUAGUCUGCCUGCAUGUGUGUAUGUGCCGCCGAUCCUCUGGAACUGGAGUUACAGAUGGUUGUGAAACUACCUUAUGGGUGAUAGGAACUCAACCUGGGGACCCUUGCAAGAGUGGUGGCUUAAACCUCUGAGCAAUCUUGCUGGCCCCCUCCCCCUUCUUUGUUUUUAUUUUUGAGACAGGGUCUACUGUGUAGUCCUGGCUAGCCUUAAUCAUAGAGUUUUGCCUGCCUCUGCCUCCCAAGUGCUGGGAUUAAAGUUUUGUGCCACUCUAUCCAUCCCAUACUACUUUAGGUUUUGGGAUUGUUGUUGUUUUUUUAAUAGCUUUUAAAUUUAUUUUUUAAAAAUUGUAUGUGUAUAGGUGUUUUAUCUGUAUGUAUACCAUGUGGAUGCCUAGUGUUCAUAGAUGCCUGAGAGGGCCUUGGGACUGGAGUUACAGACAGAUAUGAGUUGCCUUGUGGGUGUAGGAAUUGAACCCAGGUCCUCUGGAGGAGGUGCUCAUUCCAGGUCCUAUCAUAUUACUUUUAAUACAGUAUUAUCUUUGCAAGCCUGUUGGUAUUACUUUGCUUUGCAUUAACUUUAAGAUAGGGUCUUAAGAUUAUCUUCUUCAACUUCCUUAAGUGCUAAAAUGAUAGGGUUAAUAAAACCACGCCCGGCUUUAGUUCUUUUUUAAAAGAUUUAUUUAUUUAUUUUAUGUAUAUGCGCACACUGUAGCUGUCUUCAGACACACCAGAAGAGGGCAUUGGAUCCCAUUACAGAUGGUUGUGGGCCACCAUAUGGUUGUUGGCAGUUGAACUCAGGACCUCUGGAAGAGCAGCCAGUGCUCUUAACCUCUGAGCCAUCUCUCCAGCCCCUUUAGUUUUUUAGAUAUAGUUUUUAGUGCUAUCACCUCACUGGAAGGAGUUUAAUUGGCAUUUGCAUUGAAUUUGUGGAUUAAAUUGGAAGAAAUUGGGUUUUGACACAUUUUUGAGCCUUACUGUCCUUGAAUACAGAACAUCUGUACAUCUUUAGAAUUUUUAGUUUUCUGCAUAUUUGUGUAUGUGUGUAUACUCCAGUGUGCCCUUGUGCAUGUUAGAGUGUAUGUAUUUGGAGACCAGAGGUCAAACCCCCCCCCCCCCCCCCAGCUGUUCUGUCUACCCUUUAUUUUUAAGUCUGGAUUUCUCUCUGGGAUCUGAGGAUCACUCAUAAGGCCAAUCUGGCUGGCCAGUGAACCUCAGGGGGAGUCCACUUCCAUAGUGCUGGGUUUGCAAGUGUUUGUGUGAUUGGAAUUACAGGUGAGCCACCUGCCUCACACCCUCAGCAUUCAUGUGGGUUUCUGGAAAUCUGAAUUUAGGUCUCCAGGAUUAGGUGAAAAAACUUCACUGUGAGAUGUUUUAGAGGUGUUAGUAAUUUCAAGAGAAAGAUACAUGACUUGAGAGUAAUAGGACUUGGGCUUGAUGUCACAUACCUUUAAUCUCAGUCUCUACAAGUGAAUCUCUGUGAGCUCAAGGCCAGCCAGGUCUGCAUAGUAUCAGGAUAGCCAGGCUACAUAGUUUGCCCCAUGCCCCUCCCCCAACAACAAAGGCUAUAGGAAGUAAUGUUUAGGGCUUAGUCACUAUAUAUUAGUAGAUAGUCUCAGAACAGUGUUCCUCAACCUUCCUAAUGCUGCCCUUUAACACAGUUCCUCAUGAUAUGGUAACCACCAACUAUAAGAUGAUUUUUGUUAUACAUUUUAAUCUCUUUACAAGCUUCUUCCCAUUACAACUGCUGGGUGACUUCAAAGAUUCAAAUUGAAUUAUCAGGUCACUUUAGUUUUUCUUUUCAUCCUUUUAAUCUUGCAUUAUCUAGCUCCUGUCUACUUCCUACUCCAUCAUUCUUACUUUCUUAUGUUGUACUUACUUCUUUAUAUUGGGGACUUUUCAGUUUCCAAACAUGCUAAACCUCCUCUCUGUUUUACUGAGGAUGGACUUGCUGUGUGAUAGGUCAAGUUUCUAAGUUGGGCUUUUAUUAUUUUUGAGACAGGGUCUCUGUGUAAUCCUGGCUGCCCUGGAACUUGGGAUAUAUAUAGGUCAAGUCAGUCUCCUGAGUAUGGGAAUUAUAAAGUUUAUAGUUUGUUCUUUUAAAAGUAGCUUUCUCAACUAACCAGUACCCCGGAGCUCGUGACUCUAGCUGCAUAUGUAUCAGAAGAUGGCCUAGUCGGCCAUCACUGGAAAGAGAGGCCCAUUGUACUUGCAAACUUUAUAUGCCCCAGUACAGGGGAACACCAGGGCCAAGAAGUGGGAGUGGGUGGGUAGGGGGAUGGGCGGGGGAGGGUAUGGGGAUAGCACUGGAAAUGUAAAUGAAGGAAAAUACCUAAUAAUAAUAAAAAAAAAAUACCAUGCCAAAAAAAAAAAAAAAUAGCUUUCUCAGCCAGACAGUGGUGGCGCACACCUCUAAUCCCAGGACUCGGAGGCAGAGGCAGGCGGAUUUAUGAGUUCGAGGCCAGCCUGGUCUACAGAGUGAGUUCCAGGACAGCCAGGGCUACAGAGAGACCCUGUCUGGAAAAACCAAAAAAAAAAAAAAAAAAAAAGAAAAAGAAAAAAGUAGCUUUUCAAGGAAGUCUCUUUUUAGAUAUUUUUCUCUAUUAAGUACUCUGAUGCUUGAUGCUUGCUUUCUUUGUUUCUUUUCUUUUUCUUUUUUCUUUCUUUUUUUAAAUUUGUUUUUGUUUGAAGACAGUUUCUCUGUGUAGUCCUGGAUCACUUCAAAUACUAGGUUGCACUGGAACUCAGACUCACCUGCCUCUGUCUCUUGAGUGUUGGAAUUAAAGACUUGUGUUCUUGUGUUUGUCUGUCUGUCUGAAACAAGGUUCUUUUAUGUAGUCCUGGCUGUCCUGGAACUCACUCUGCAGAUCAGGUAAACCAGGUUGGCCUCAAACUAGCAGAAAUUGCCUGCCUCUAGUUUUUUGAUUGUUUUGGUUUGGUUUUCGAGAGACAGGUUUCUCUGUGUAGCCCUGGCUGUCCUGGAACUCACUCGGUAGUCCAGCUGCCUCUAGUUCUUGAGUGCUGGGAUUAAAGAUGUGCAUCACCACUGCCUGCCUAUUCUCAUAGUUUCUUAUACAUUUGAAAGUUAUAUAUUUAGUUGUUCUGUGUCUUUAUACUAACAGUACUAGUAAUAAUGCCUUGCAAUAGUUUUUAUAUUUAUAUUUAUCAUAUCAGUUCAGGGGCCUUGCCUAGCAUGCAGGAAAAGGAGGGUUCAAGCACCACAUAAAUGGGUUGUGGCAAAUGCCUGUAAUCCCAGCACUCUGGUGAGAGGUUGGUUAGGGCUUGGAGAGGAGUAUUAAAAAUUCAGAAUCAUUCUUGACUGCAUAUCUACUUUGAAGCCAGCCUUGGGACACAUAAAAGAAAGUUUAUAAUUUCAUUUUGCUCUUUAGGUUUUUGAAGUAUGAUGACUGGAAUGAAGGCCAAUAAUUCUAACCUCACAUUAUUACUGUAACUGGAGAGGCUAUUAUUUUCUGGUUCUCUAGCUAGAAUAGCAUUGCCUGUCCAAUAAUACAGUAGCCAUUAGCCACAUUUGACUUUCUUUGUCAAUGUCAGGUUCUCAAAGUCUGCCUUUGACUUUGGCAGGGGGUGGGUGUCUCAUGUGCUGUGGCUCACAGGCAGAGGUCUGAGAGCAGCACCUUUCAAGAGUUGUUUCCUGAAUUCCUUUACCAUGUGGGUCCCCAGAUCCAUUUUGUCCAUUGGGUAGCACUGAUUUACAGUUUACUCUUUUUGUUAGUUUUGAGAUCUCACUGUGGAGCUGGCUGGCCUGACUAUACUGUGUAGACCAGGCAGCCUUUGCCUCUGUAGUGCUAGGAUUAAAGGUUUUGUGACCCACACCAGGGUUACGAUUUGUUCUUAAUAAUGACUGUAAAUGUUUGCUUGAUCUCACUUUCCUAUUAUAUCUCAGUCUCUUAGUUUUCUUUUUUUAAAGAUUUAUUUAUUUUAUGCAUGUGAGUACAAUGUUGCUCUCUUCUCAGACACUAGAAGAGAGAAUCAGAUCCCAUUACAGAUGGUUGUGAGCCACCCUGUGGUUGCUGGGAUUUGAACUCAGGACCUCUGGAAGAGCAGUCAGUGCUCUUAACUGCUGAGCUAUCUAUCUCUGCAGCUCCAGUCUCUUAGUUUUCAUGUCAACUUUACUUGGGGAACAUUAAAUGGCCCAUGCUUCAGUUUUGUUUAAUCCAUUUAGGGACUGCAGGUGUAACUCUGGUAGAACAACUGCUUACCAAGCUCACGGAACCUGGGCUUGGUCCUCACACACAUCCCACAUGUUCAUAUACAAAUCCUGGCUUAUAUCUUAAGUCAUUGAAAAAUAGGUUAGAGGUAAGUAAUGUAUAUUAAAUGUUGGGAGAGGACUGUGUCUGCUAGGUAUGGUUGAGGGAGGGCUUAUUAAGGGAGAGUACAAAGGCUCUGGACUGAAUAUGGCCAUGAAAGGAGGGGUGGGGAGUGAGAGAGAAAAGAGGAAAGGGAUGGUGGUUUGGGGCAAUCUGAAAAAGAGAUCAGGAGAUUCAGGUAUGGAGGCAAAAUGGCUGUUAUAUAGCUAAGUGGAAGCUCAGCCCCAUGGAGGGAGAGGCUUAGGGUAGGAGGUCAUGUGAGAAGUGCUGGGAAGAGCCACAGGUACUGGGCAAGACCUCUUCCAGAUUUCUUUGAGAUUUAACAAAUGUAGCUGCUAAGCUUUAAAUAUCUUUAUUUCAAACAAGGCAUGGAGAAUCAAAUUUUUCUCUUCCAUCAAUUUGUUGGUCCACUUUCUCUUCCUCUAAGACAAGUUAUCAUUAUGUAGUGAUUUUUUUUUGGGGGGUGGUGGUGGGGGGUGGUUCAAGACAGUGUUUCUCUGUAUUGCCCAGGCUGUCCUGGAACUCAAUCUGUAGACCAGGCUGGUCUGGAACUCAGAAAUUCGCCUGCCUCUGCCUCCCACCUGCUGGGAUUAAAGGCAUGCAGCACCACUGCCCAGCUGUCUCAUUAUGUAGUGGAGGCUGGCAUAGAAUUCACUGCCCAAUCUCCUUUUGUGUGAGUUUCCUAAGAACUGGGAUUGUACAUUUGAACUACCAUGCCCAUCUUAACAGUUUUUUCUACUGGGGCUGGACAGAUGUAAUUCAGUGGUAGAGUUACCAUUCUAGUUGGUGGCAUGAACAUGGGAAAAUGUAGCCUAAAAUGAGGAGGACUAAAGUCACAUGCAAUCACUUUCUUUAGGGCAUAAUAGAAUUUACAUUCUGAGGGUUAAGCAAGAUCAUAUGAGCAAAGUUCAGGUGAGUUCAAGCUGUAUACUGUCAUGAGGACAGACCCUGCUUGGAAACCUCAUCAGAAUAAUAGAAGCAGGACCUGUAACCUGAAGUAAACCUACUCCUACUUACCAUACCUGGGAGGGGCACAGAAGCACAUUCUAGGAACAGCCCAUGCAUGGGAGGAACAGCUCACAGACUCUUCUUGAUCCUCAUACUUCUGCAUCUUUAGUGCUUGCAUAUGUGUGGGCCUGGCUACCAGAGGUUUUACACGGAGAUCUCUGGCCAGGCUUGGUGCGAGGGUUCCCCGAAGGGAAGCGAAUGCAGGCAGGGAGGGGAAGUUACUUCCCUGCUUCUGCUGUGCUGGUUGUCUCCACUUCUCUGCCAUGCAGUAAUUCUUCACUGAGUCGGGUCGGGCUGGGCCGAGGAGAAGCUGACUAGCGAGAGUGCGACAGGACCUCAGGCAGCUCUUUGGGAGAGCCGACCUCUCCCCAAGUGUUAGAGCUCUUAGGACAAAGCCUCAGAUGACGGAGUAGUUCUCUCCCUGCAUGGGACUUAUAUACAGUUUUGGGGAUGAUCCAGGGUUUGACAGCAGGUGCUUUUUAUUGGCUUGGACUGAGUUUGGGGAAACCUUAUUUGUAUGUGGGAGGGCUUGGUGCAGCUAGUACUUGAUUGAUGCAGCAUGCCUCUCUGCAGGGGGGCUGUGGGAGGCUGUAGCUACCUCUGCUGCUGUAGCUGUGUGCUGCGAGCACAGUGGGAUACCCAGGAGGCGUGGCCAAACUCCUGCUGUCCCUUGCUGUUGGAAAUCUCCGCCCACCACGGGGGCGGGGGGGGGGGGGGCGCUCCGGUUCCAGACCUGUGCUCGACCCGGGGGACCAGGCACAGCUCACCACCCCACAGAUAUGUACUACUGAUCUCAGCUGGAUAUUUGGAUUAAAAUUUCAUUUUCGAAUAGAUAAAAAUAAGGUGUAUGAAAACUUCUUAUUUAGGUUCUCCUCUGACCUCCGUGGGCACCAGACAAGCAAGUGGUACACAGACAUAUGUGCAUGCAAGAACCUAUAUUCACAACAACAAGUACUUUAUUUAUGAGCUAGUAAUGUGUCUAAGCUGGGUAGUGGAUGCUUACCCUAGCAUGUGCAAAGUCUUGCUUUGAUCCUCGAUAUCAAAUAUUUAUAUGGUGGCACACACCUAAAAUCCCAGCAUACAGUAGGCUGAGGCAGAAAGAUCUCUACAGGUUUGAGGUUGGCCUGCAUUACAUAGAGAGACUGAAAGGACAGUAAUAGCAUCAGUUGCUACUUUGUACUCAGCAUUAAUAUGUUAAGGAUUACUUCUUACACUUUGUUUUCCUUUCACCUCUGAAAAUGUAUUAGAACCCUUUUUGGAGUCGAUGAAGGAUAGAGUUGGGAUUUGAGCUUGGGCCUAGUACAUGCUCAGUAUACCUAUUCCCAGCCUGAGGACUGCAUUAGAUUUUGCACUGUUUUUCCUCCGUGCAUGCGCGCGCGCGUGUGUGUGUGUGUGUGUGUGUGUGUGUGUGUGUGUGUGUGUGUGUGUGUAUACAUGUGUCUAUAUGCACAUGUGAGUGCAGGUGUAGGGGUUGUUGGUUCUUUCCUUCUACCAUGUAAGUUCUAGAAAUUGCCACAUUUGGUGACAACCCCUUUUAUCUAUUGAACCAUGUGGCUGGCCUCCUUUUCCCGUCCCUCCAACCUCCUGCAUUUCUUCUUUUCAGGCAAGGUCUAUGUAGUCUAGGCUGGCCUCAGCUUUGCUAUGUAGCUGAUCUUAAAUUUCUGAUCCUCCUCCUUCCACCUUCCUAGUUUUGGGAUCAUACUCAGCCAGGACUUCAUGUAUUCUAGGCACUGUUAUUGAGCCAAGUGCUGGACCCAGAAUUCUGUACUUUCUCAUUAGCAAUAUGGUCAUUCAUUUUCCUUCACCCAGAUUAUCUUCAAUGUUCUAUGCUGUUUUGCUCUAUUUUAAUAGUUACAUUGCUUACUAGGAGCUGUAUAUUUCAUCCAUCUGUGUGCCCUUCCCCCCCCUCCCCCCCCCAAUUCCCCCUUUGCUUCUCUGGUUGUCCUGGCACUUGUUAUGUAGCUUCAAACUUUAGUCCCUGCCUCUGCCUCCACCCCCUGAGUGCUGGGAUUAAAGGUGUGCACCACCAUGUUUGGGCAUUAGUAAUGCUUUGUAGAUUCAAAGGAAUGUUAGAAACACCAAGACUACUAAAAAUCUUCCUGCCUUGUGCUGAACUCUUAGAAGAAAGUUAUAGAAAAACGCUUUGCAGUUGUCCUCACUAAAGAUGGGGUGCCAAAAUACACACUGAAGGUUCCCUGUGGAUUCUUUAUGGGUAACACAUUGUUUUGUUUUUUAGAAAUUAAUGGUUCCAUUCUUAAAACUCUGAGGUGAAUUAUAAAAUAAUACUUUCUAAUGAAAGACUUAUAUUUGUUAUUAAGCAAAGGUAAUGAUGAAGUGUGUUCUUAGGAAACCCACUUAUUCUGAAAAGUGCUGGUGACAUCUUUCUUUCCUAGUGUGCCCAAGGUUCCUGGGAUUGAUCCCAGCACUACCACACUUACUUUUUAAAACAACAGCAACAAGCAAAAAAUUUACAGAAAUAUGUUAUCAAAAUGAUUGUAUGAUAGGCAUUCUCAUUUUAUACUAAUAAAACUGAGAGUUUUACAGUUACAGUUGCAGUGAUGUACCCUGAACUAUUAAGACGCUGGGAGAAGCAGGAUUCAGCAUACAUUUGACUUCAGGGGCCAUGCCUUCUAGUAGUCUGGUAGUGAGUCCAUUAUCUGAGUGUUCCUGAGUCAUAUACUCAGGGACCUGUGUGGGUAGUGGGAGGCUUGGAUUGAGAAGAAGUUGGAUGUUUUAAAUCAAACUGUGACAAUAUAAAAAGUAAUUAUUAACUUGAUAAAAAAAUUAAAUUGAUAAAAAAUUGAGUUGUGAAAAAUUCCCAAUUUUAACUUUUCAUUUUCUUUUUAUCUUUAGUUAUCUGCAGAUAAAGACCUUACUCUAGAAU